RNAcentral lists this ribosomal RNA (254 nucleotides) under uncultured bacterium. RNAcentral's name for it is "partial 16S ribosomal RNA". It matches the Rfam family "Bacterial small subunit ribosomal RNA", at positions 524 to 776 of the family's 1533-position model. The record is from RNAcentral.
UACGUAGGGUGCGAGCGUUGUCCGGAUUUAUUGGGCGUAAAGAGCUCGUAGGCGGUUUGUCGCGUCGGCUGUGAAAGCCCGGAGCUCAACUCCGGGUCUGCAGUCGAUACGGGCAGACUUGAGUGUUGCAGGGGAGACUGGAAUUCCUGGUGUAGCGGUGAAAUGCGCAGAUAUCAGGAGGAACACCGGUGGCGAAGGCGGGUCUCUGGGCAACAACUGACGCUGGAGGAGCGAAAGCGUGGGGAGCGAACAGG